AUGGAUAUUUGUCACUUCUGGCUGAUUCGGGCGAUGUGUUCCAGCUCAAAAAACACCUCCCCCAACUCCAGCUACGUCCUCGGAUUAGGAGAAGGAAGACGGGAAGAGGGGAAAAAAAAAAAAAAAAAAACACACACACACACUCCGCGUUUCAAGCACAACCUCCAGGCCUCUUCGGCAGUUUGCUUCCAACCCAGCGCCUUCCGGAACGCCCCGAGGGAAGGGCAGCAGCGCGGGGCCCCCCCUAACGGCGGGCCUGCCCCCGGGAGCGGCCGGGGCACGCGGCGCAGGGGCGGCCCCGUGCGACAGGCCCCGAACCGCCGCCAUCUGCCGGGGCCUGCGCCGCGCCUGGCGGUACCCGCAGGGCCCCGCUGCCCCCCGCAGGCCGGGCCCCGCCUCCCCCUCCCCUCCCCCUGCGCCCCGCGCGGCCCUCACGGCGCGGGGCCGGGGCCGGGGCCGGGGCCGGGGCCGGGGCCGGGGCAGGGCCAGACCGGGCCGGGCCGCCCGCCUCGCUCCGUACGGCCCCAGCCCGGCCCCGCGGCGCAAGGCCCGCGCUGCCCGCCCCCUCCCCGCGCUCCCGGCCCCGUCCCCACGCCCCCGGUCCCGGUCGCGGCCCCGGCCCCGUCCCGCACCUCCCGCGGUGCCCCCGCGCUGCGGCCUCCUCGCGCUCCGCCGGCCACUGGACGAGCGCGCGGCCCGCGCCUGCGCAUUAGAGCCCGCGCCCGACGCUGCGCCGGCGCUCCGGGGCCUGGCGCCUGCGCGCGGAGCCCCCGCUCCCUCCGGCACCGCGCCUGCGCGCCGCCUCCCGCCCGCCAAAUGGCGGCUCCCCCCUCCCCUCCCCUCCCCUCCCCUCCCCCCAGUCCCCGAGGCGCGCCACGCUCCGCGCUGUGUCCGCCACGGGCCCUUUAUUGCCACAGCGCCCGCCCCGCGCCGAGCCAAAGCCGCCGGCCCCGCGCGGGCAGCUCCGCCCGUCCCUCGUGGUGCCCGGUCCGUGCCCCGUGCCCCGUCCCGUCCCGUCACGUCAGGCCGGCAGCUCCAGGAACUCCUCCAGGCUCCUCCUGA
Molecule: long non-coding RNA, 1062 nt
Filed under: Cairina moschata (Muscovy duck)
Lineage: Eukaryota; Metazoa; Chordata; Aves; Anseriformes; Anatidae
Description: domestica (muscovy Duck (domestic type)) lncRNA (ENSCMMG00000009211.1)
Source: RNAcentral